Molecule: ribosomal RNA, 245 nt
Filed under: uncultured bacterium
Lineage: Bacteria
Description: partial 16S ribosomal RNA
Rfam family: Bacterial small subunit ribosomal RNA
Source: RNAcentral
UACGUAGGGUGCAAACGUUAUCCGGAAUUAUUGGGCGUAAAGAGCUCGUAGGUGGUUUUGUAAGUCUGAUAUUAAAGACCCAGGCUCAACCUGGGGAAAGUAUUGGAAACUGCAAAACUUGAGGUAUGCAGGGGCAGAUGGAACACAAGGUGUAGCAGUGAAAUGCGUAGAUAUCUUGUGGAACGCCAAUGGUGAAGACAGUCUGCUGGGCAUUACCUGACACUGAGGAGCGAAAGCGUGGGGAG